This 253-nucleotide ribosomal RNA is filed under the name uncultured bacterium. RNAcentral describes it as "partial 16S ribosomal RNA". It matches the Rfam family "Bacterial small subunit ribosomal RNA", at positions 524 to 776 of the family's 1533-position model. The record is from RNAcentral.
UACGGGGGGGGCAAGCGUUGUUCGGAAUUACUGGGCGUAAAGGGCUCGUAGGUGGCCAACUAAGUCAGACGUGAAAUCCCUCAGCUUAACUGGGGAACUGCGUCUGAUACUGGAUGGCUUGAGUGUGGGAGAGGGAUGCGGAAUUCCAGGUGUAGCGGUGAAAUGCGUAGAUAUCUGGAGGAGCACCGGUGGCGAAGGCGGCAUCCUGGACCAACACUGACACUGAGGAGCGAAAGCCAGGGGAGCAAACGGG